CAGUCGCCGCGGUAAUACGUAGGGUGCGAGCGUUAAUCGGAAUUACUGGGCGUAAAGCGUGCGCAGGCGGUUUUGUAAGACAGGCGUGAAAUCCCCGGGCUCAACCUGGGAAUGGCGCUUGUGACUGCAAAGCUAGAGUGCGGCAGAGGGGGAUGGAAUUCCGCGUGUAGCAGUGAAAUGCGUAGAUAUGCGGAGGAACGCCGAUGGCGAAGGCAAUCCCCUGGGCCUGCACUGACGCUCAUGCACGAAAGCGUGGGGAGCAAACAGGAUUAGAUACCCGAGUAGUCCCUGUCUCUUAUAA
RNAcentral lists this ribosomal RNA (301 nucleotides) under uncultured bacterium. Its description in RNAcentral is "partial 16S ribosomal RNA". It matches the Rfam family "Bacterial small subunit ribosomal RNA", at positions 509 to 809 of the family's 1533-position model. The record is from RNAcentral.